GCUUGCUUCUCUGUAUACAAUUGUUUGAGCUAUUCGUUGCAUACCAUUAGAUGAGUUGAAAGGCUCAUGAAUACAUUCACUAAGAAGUGGCUCACUGUUUAUUCAUGAAUACAUUCACAAAUUCCGUGCCUAUUCACAAUGUAUUUAAUACCUACGCGGAGGGGUUUUAAAAGGAACGAAACCCUUGAUUCUUGUGACUUCGCAAAAACUACAAAACUGAAACUUUUUUGUUUCUUAUCCUUUUAUUCAGUUUUCUUUUAAAAUAUCACAAUAAAUCUCAUUAAAACAUAGUAAAAUUACUAAGAGAUACUAUAUAUAUAUACAAGAAAUGUGGGUGGGUUUUGUGUCAAUAUGUUUUGUCCUUCCUUCAAUUUUUCGAUUAAAAACGAUAUGCGAGCAGUUCAAACAGACGUUCCAGCAAUAGUCAGAUUUAAACUUAACAUAUCAACAUAUAUCGACAGUAUAUGGCUUGCUAAUUUAAGCAUUUACCACAAAGUAGCACUAUUUUUAUAUCCUCCAGCAAAAGCUAUGAGAGAUGUCGAUAUUGAAGCAGUGAAGCAUUUCUGCAUUGAGGAGAUAUCAGGCAAUAUUGAGUUUUACACGUUCGAACACAAUGAGACCCCACAAAUUCCAUCUUCACCAAUUACUUCAACAUCAAAUACGUCUUCACCUGCAAAUGACCUGAACUUCUUUUUUCCAAAUAUUUCAAACAUGGGCUGCGCGCCCACGUAUCGAAGAUGAGAUAGAUCGAUAUUUUACAGAAAGAGUACAAUGUAAAAUGACUUUGACGCAAUUCAAUGGUGGAAGCAACAUAAAAGGCUGUCUUCGUAAAUGCAUAUUGCAAAGCAUUAACCACGAAUUAAUGCGCAACUAAUGCAAAACCUAAAUGUAUGGCAUUACUGUUUUACAAACCUAUACAAUAAAUAUUACAGAUGUUUAUGAACGCAGCUAUUCAAAGCAUCAGUUUGAGAACUGUCAAAGCUUUAAUAAUGAGCGCAAUCUUAAAAAAUUUGUUAAUAAACGCAAUAGAAUUGGCUGAACCAACAUCUAGCAAUAUUAGUAGCACAAAAAAAAUGCUGGAAAGAUAAAUAAGGUUGCGUGUGUUAUGCAUUCAACAUAUUAAUUAUAGGAGAAACAUCGUAAAGACAAAAAACUUUUGAAUAUCUAUUUUGAUGAUGGAGGAUUAUGUUUUCUACUCCCAUUUUCGAAUGAGGCGCUAUAAUUUUAAGAAACUGGCCACCAUGAUCAAGCCCUUUUGGAAAUUGCGCACCAAAGGUCGCGUAAGCAUUCCACUCUAUAAGGCCUUAUAUGUAACUAUUUGGAAAGUCAGCAACAACACGUCAUUCCGUGAUAUCAGCGAUCGAUUUGGGCGAGGAAAUUAAGUUUCCAAAUACGCCUGAUGAACAAAGGAAAACAAGCUAGAAAUUUUUAGCAAGUCGCCGCAAUCCGUUCCCAUGUGUUCUGGGUUGCAUUGAUGGUACCCACGCUCAGAUAUCCCAACCUCUUAGAGAUGCGGUCAGUUUCUAUAAUCGUAAAGGAACCUACUCCACAUUAUACA
Molecule: long non-coding RNA, 1558 nt
Organism: Bactrocera dorsalis (oriental fruit fly)
Lineage: Eukaryota; Metazoa; Arthropoda; Insecta; Diptera; Tephritidae
Exons: 3
Source: RefSeq, a predicted model, not a curated record